UGAACGCUGGCGGCGUGCCUAAUACAUGCACGUCGAGCGAACAGAUGAGGAGCUUGCUCCUCUGACGUUAGCGGCGGACGGGUGAGUAACACGUGGAUAACCUACCUAUAAGACUGGGAUAACUUCGGGAAACCGGAGCUAAUACCGGAUAAUAUAUUGAACCGCAUGGUUCAAUAGUGAAAGACGGCUUUGCUGUCACUUAUAGAUGGAUCCGCGCCGCAUUAGCUAGUUGGUAAGGUAACGGCUUACCAAGGCAACGAUGCGUAGCCGACCUGAGAGGGUGAUCGGCCACACUGGAACUGAGACACGGUCCAGACUCCUACGGGAGGCAGCAGUAGGGAAUCUUCCGCAAUGGGCGAAAGCCUGACGGAGCAACGCCGCGUGAGUGAUGAAGGUCUUCGGAUCGUAAAACUCUGUUAUUAGGGAAGAACAAAUGUGUAAGUAACUAUGCACGUCUUGACGGUACCUAAUCAGAAAGCCACGGCUAACUACGU
Molecule: ribosomal RNA, 494 nt
Filed under: uncultured bacterium
Lineage: Bacteria
Description: partial 16S ribosomal RNA
Rfam family: Bacterial small subunit ribosomal RNA
Source: RNAcentral